RNAcentral lists this ribosomal RNA (497 nucleotides) under uncultured bacterium. RNAcentral's name for it is "partial 16S ribosomal RNA". It matches the Rfam family "Bacterial small subunit ribosomal RNA", at positions 28 to 507 of the family's 1533-position model. The record is from RNAcentral.
GAUGAACGCUGGCGGCGUGCCUAAUACAUGCAAGUCGAGCGAACAGACGAGGAGCUUGCUCCUCUGACGUUAGCGGCGGACGGGUGAGUAACACGUGGAUAACCUACCUAUAAGACUGGGAUAACUUCGGGAAACCGGAGCUAAUACCGGAUAAUAUAUUGAACCGCAUGGAUCAAUAGUGAAAGACGGUUUUGCUGUCACUUAUAGAUGGAUCCGCGCCGCAUUAGCUAGUUGGUAAGGUAACGGCUUACCAAGGCAACGAUGCGUAGCCGACCUGAGAGGGUGAUCGGCCACACUGGAACUGAGACACGGUCCAGACUCCUACGGGAGGCAGCAGUAGGGAAUCUUCCGCAAUGGGCGAAAGCCUGACGGAGCAACGCCGCGUGAGUGAUGAAGGUCUUCGGAUCGUAAAACUCUGUUAUUAGGGAAGAACAAAUGUGUAAGUAACUAUGCACGUCUUGACGGUACCUAAUCAGAAAGCCCCGGCUAACUACGUG